RNAcentral lists this ribosomal RNA (429 nucleotides) under bacterium. RNAcentral describes it as "partial 16S ribosomal RNA". It matches the Rfam family "Bacterial small subunit ribosomal RNA", at positions 355 to 776 of the family's 1533-position model. The record is from RNAcentral.
UAGGGAAUCUUCGGCAAUGGGGGCAACCCUGACCGAGCAACGCCGCGUGAGUGAAGAAGGUUUUCGGAUCGUAAAGCUCUGUUGUAAGAGAAGAACGUGUGUGAGAGUGGAAAGUUCACACAGUGACGGUAACUUACCAGAAAGGGACGGCUAACUACGUGCUAGCAGCCGCGGUAAUACGUAGGUCCCGAGCGUUGUCCGGAUUUAUUGGACGUAAAGCGAGCGCAGGCGGUUUAAUAAGUCUGAAGUUAAAGGCAGUGGCUUAACCAUUGUUCGCUUUGGAAACUGUUAAACUUGAGUGCAGAAGGGGAGAGUGGAAUUCCAUGUGUAGCGGUGAAAUGCGUAGAUAUAUGGAGGAACACCGGUGGCGAAAGCGGCUCUCUGGUCUGUAGCUGACGCUGAGGCUCGAAAGCGUGGGGGGCAAACAGG